RNAcentral lists this ribosomal RNA (850 nucleotides) under uncultured bacterium. Its description in RNAcentral is "bacterial SSU rRNA". It matches the Rfam family "Bacterial small subunit ribosomal RNA", at positions 65 to 933 of the family's 1533-position model. The record is from RNAcentral.
GAUGGGAGCUAGCUUGCUAGAAGAAGUCAUGGCGGACGGGUGAGUAACGUGUAAAGAACUUACCAUAUAGACUGGGAUAACAGAGGGAAACUUCUGAUAAUACUGGAUAAGUUAGUAGUAGCAUUACUAAGUAAUGAAAGGUAGCAAUACGCUAUAUGAGAGCUUUGCAUCCUAUUAGCUAGUUGGUGGGGUAAAAGCCUACCAAGGCGAUGAUAGGUAGCCGGCCUGAGAGGGUGGACGGCCACAAGGGGACUGAGAUACGGCCCUUACUCCUACGGGAGGCAGCAGUGGGGAAUAUUGGACAAUGGAGGCAACUCUGAUCCAGCAAUUCUGUGUGUGUGAAGAAGGUUUUAGGACUGUAAAACACUUUUAGUAGGGAAGAAAGAAAUGACGGUACCUACAGAAGAAGCGACGGCUAAAUACGUGCCAGCAGCCGCGGUAAUACGUAUGUCGCGAGCGUUAUCCGGAAUUAUUGGGCUUAAAGGGCAUCUAGGCGGUUAAACAAGUUGAAGGUGAAAACCUGUGGCUCAACCAUAGGCUUGCCUACAAAACUGUAUAACUAGAGUACUGGAAAGGUGGGUGGAACUACACGAGUAGAGGUGAAAUUCGUAGAUAUGUGUAGGAAUGCCGAUGAUGAAGAUAACUCACUGGACAGCAACUGACGCUGAAGUGCGAAAGCUAGGGGAGCAAACAGGAUUAGAUACCCUGGUAGUCCUAGCUGUAAACGAUGAUCACUGGGUGUGGGGAUUCGAAGUCUCUGUGCCGAAGCAAAAGCGAUAAGUGAUCCGCCUGGGGAGUACGUUCGCAAGAAUGAAACUCANAGGAAUUGACGGGGACCCGCACAAGUGGU